GUCUUCUGCGUCGCUCACGCUGGGAGCUGUAGACCGGAGCUGUUCCUAUUCAGCCAUCUUGGCUCCUCCCCUGACUGAUGUCCUCCUUAUAGGAAUGGGAAAUUCAGAUGCAGACAGGUGCUGAAGACCAUGUGAAGGCACAGGGAGGAGGUGGCCAUCUGCAAGCCAAGGAGAGAAGCCUCAGAAGAAACCAACCCUGCCAACACCGUGACCUCAGACUCCAGCCCCCAGAACUAUUCCAUAGAAUGUUCCCUGUUUCUUCAUCUAUGACAUGGGGAUAAUGUGAGUAUACCUACAUCAGAGGGCUGCGAUGAAGACUAAAUAAGCCCCAGAGGUUACUGACAGACCAAAAUAUCCUGACAACCCCGGAAUGCCAGAAGGAGAGAAGGGGUUUGUAAAUCUGAGGACCUUGACUACUUUUGUAAGAAGGAAUUACUUGCUAAGUACUGUCUCAGAAAGAAACUCUCUUGGAGGUUACCUGGGGACAAGUGGAGGAAGCAAGCCAUAGCCUUUUUGGAAUUGUGAUAAUAUUCCAAGGCAAAUGUUCCCAGGGGCUGGGAUUUUACCUUCUGUCUGUCCUACAAUCAGGGUGUAAGAUGGAGGAAUGCACUUCCCAUCUCUGAGCCACGGUUUCUCAUCCAUAGAAUGGGGAGUUUGGAUUUCUAAGAUCCCCCAUCUCACGCUUUGAAUGCGAUCAGGCUGGGAAUUCAAAAGCAUCUGCUCACUGGGAAAGGGAGGCAGUCAGGGUGGGACAGGGCUUGUAUUGAAUAACGAGAAAGGAGCAUGGUGACUAUGACUUGAGUCAGUCCGGAAAUAAAAUAUAAGGGGGUCUGAUCUGAGGCAGAAGAGGACAGCAGAAAUUCUCCUAGGAGUGGCAGUCAAGCCAGGUCAGGCUCGGGUCAGGCUGCCUGGUUCAGAGAAUGGCAUCAAUGUGUGCAGAGAGGUUCUUAAGGCCAGACAGGUGUCAGGGCCCAAGCCAAGUGGACUGGAGGUCAGAAUAGGGCUUCAGUUCUAAAAAAGGUGCCUGGCUGAGUGCAAAGCAGGCCUGAGUCAUCCAGACCUCACAAUCAUGGCUGGAGUGGCCACAGACAGACCCACAAUGGGUGCAGGGGAUCCCAAGUUUAUGACACCAAGAGUCAUUCCAGGCUUACCUAUGUUUUCAGGGCAAAUACAGGACUGAGUCUAGGCUGGAGGGUUAGAGAAGCUGAAACAGACACCUUUAGAACUGAAGUGUGAUGUUUUCAUUAAUCUGAAUACAAACCAUAGCCAAUAUAUAUGGUGUGCUUUCUCUGUGUCACUCUAUUCUAAGUAUUUCACAUGUGUGAACUCCCUGGCAGGCUAGUAGUAUUAGAGCUUUUGCUUAUUAAUCUCUAUGGUAACAGGUCAUUAAAAAAAAUAAUUAAUUACUGUGUUACCAAGAUCAAAAUAUAGUAAUAUUCGCCUCUUCAGCUGUGACCACCACCAUAGAAAAGUCCAGGCAAAAAUACAGAGAUCAGAAGGGGCAAGUGGAACCCUAUGCAGGCUAAAGACUCUUAGGAAAUAUGGGCCCUUGAAAUGUCCCCAUCUAUGUGGGUUUCAUUGUCAGUCCUUCUUUCUUUGGCAGGGUCAAGGGCAUUUGACCUGUUGAUACACCUAUUGCUUUUCCAGCAAGCCCUACAUCUUUCUAGUAAGGAGUCAAUGCACCAAAGCUGGAGGCCACUGGAGGUGACUCCAGUCACCAUUUUUCAACUUCUCCUAGAAAUGUCUCUUUGGUUUCUUCAGGCUUUGACUUGGGUGACUAUGGAGAACGUGACAUGGGAAGUUAAAAAGCAACAAGAAGUCUUUUAAAAAGUUUGAAUUACAUUGAACAUAUGUCUGAAAUGUAAGAAGGGAUAUCCCCAAUCUCAUCUUAAAUCUGAAUUGAACCUGUCAUAUUAUAGCCUGGCUCUUCUCUCACCAACUAUUUGGGGAACCCAGCCAACAUACUGUGAUGAAGCCUAAACAACUGUGGAGAGGCUCACGUGGAGAGGAGUCAAUGCCCACUGAUCUAUAAGCCUUGGCUGAGCUCUGAGCCAACAGUCAUGAUCAACUUCCAGCCGUAUAAGUGAACCAUCUUGAAAGAGGCUUCACCAGCACCAAGUUGAGCAACUUGAUUAUGUUACCAAAGAUCACCUCCUUCCUAUCAUCUUCCGUCUGAGACUUGCUUAGAGUGAGUUUGGAAGCUGUGUUUUGCUCAUCCUGAAGACUGAACAUAAGAAAAUAUUGCUCAAGUUCUGGAUGAUGCAGCUGCUGAAAUAAUCUGUGGUGCACUUUCCUUCAGGAAUCCUUACCUAUUUUUUCAGGUGUUCCACAAGCCUUCUUAUCUUGGAAUUCAGUAAUACUUAUUGUGUGGUUGCUUACUGUUCCCUAGGCACCCUGAAGCAUUGAAGCUUUGAAGCUUUGUCUCAUGCUUUCAAGUAAUGUUCUCGUGUUUACCUGCUGAUAUUCCUUCAAAGUUAGAGGCUGCCUCUCUCCAAGUGUGGAAAAAAACAAUCAGAUGUCACUAAGAUAUUGUGUAACAAUUCAUAUUAAACACAUGAUCUUGUCAGUCAAGAAGAAGAGAUUAAAACAAACACCUUGAGAGUUCAUGAGUAGAAGUAUACAGCCCUGCAUUCAUGAUAAUAUGGUGCAUUUUACCUACCUUGCAGCAGAAAGAGAUAUCUAAUUCCAUACACAGCAAUGUAACUGUUUAAAGUGCUCCUAAAAUUCAGACAAAACAAAUUAUAAAUAGUAUCAAGAUCAAAGAAGCUGAAAGUCCCUAUGUUUGAUGUAGGCACAGCAAAGUUUGAUGUAUAUGCUCAUUUCUCAGCACUGCAAGUAUGGAGAAACCAUCAGAAAGCAUGCUGAAAAUAGAGAGGGCUUCUAAAACAGAAAGCUCCUGCCUGUUUUACUGAAGGCUACCAGAUUCUUUCUCAGAAAUUUUGUACAGUUCAGAGGCACAAAUGCUCUUUUAGGUCCUUUGAAGCACUGGGUUUAAUAUCGGAAUUUAAUCUUGGCUCUAGUCUCCAAUUCCUUACAUAGUCAUUCAAGCAAUCUUGGGGACCAAGUCUUCCAAUAGCAUAGUGAUAUUCAUGCCUGAAGUGGGAGGAAUAGAUAUCCUCCUCAUUAACAAGGGAUGAGAGAUCAUGUUUCAUAGGCAAAAUACUCAUGCAUGCAAAAAUGUAACUUUUCCAGUAAUUUUUUUAGUACUGAAAUUAGCUUAGCUCAUUAGCUCUCUCUUCUACCUAGUAGCAGGGAAUGCAGUUUUGCUAACCCAGGUGACUCAUUAUUUCUGUUUUCAAGUUUAGUUUAUUUUAGGUAAAUUUUUGAAUUCAUAAUGUUUUUCUGACCUUUCUUCUCUUCCAGAAGAGGUUAUUCUAACUUCUUAAUGGAUUUACUUUUGUAGUUGUUACUGUUAUAUAUAUAUAAUAG
This 3429-nucleotide long non-coding RNA is filed under the name Homo sapiens (human). RNAcentral describes it as "HSALNT0267227". Lineage: Eukaryota; Metazoa; Chordata; Mammalia; Primates; Hominidae. The record is from RNAcentral.